This 231-nucleotide unclassified non-coding RNA is filed under the name plant metagenome. RNAcentral's name for it is "partial contains small subunit ribosomal RNA, internal transcribed spacer 1, and 5.8S ribosomal RNA". The record is from RNAcentral.
UCUCCGUUGGUGAACCAGCGGAGGGAUCAUUACAGAGUUGCAAAACGCCCAAACCAUUGUGAACGUUACCUAUCCCGUUGCUUCGGCGGACGGCCCGGGCCCCGCGCCCGGCGCCCCCCGGCCCCCCGUGGGCGCCCGCCGGAGGUAAACCAAAUCCUUGAAUUGCAUGGCCUCUCUGAGUCUUCUGUACUGAAUAAGUCAAAACUUUCAACAACGGAUCUCUUGGUUCUG